UGAGAGGAUGGUCACCCACACUGAGACUGACAUACUGCCCAGACUCCUACAGGAGGCUGCCGUCCACAAUCAUCCGCAAUGGGUGAAAGCCUGACGGUGCAAUGCCGCGUGGGGGAUGAAGGCCUUCGGGUCAUAGACCCCUGUCAGAGGGGACGAAAAAUAUGACGGUACCCUCAGAGGAAUCCACGGCUAACUACGUGCCAACAGCCUCGGUAAUACAUAGGUGGCGAGCGUUAUUCGCGAUUUACUGGGCGUAAAGGGUCCACAGGGGGUUUGCCGAGUUUGAUGUGAAAGUCCGCAGCUCAACAGCGAAACUGCGCCGGAUACUGGAGAACUUGAGUGUCGCGAAGGGCGAGCGGAAUUCCAGUUGUAGCGGUGGAAUGCGUUGAUAUCUGGAAGAACACCGCCGGCGAAAGCGGCUCGCUGGCGCGCCACUGUGCGUCAUGGACGAUAUCGUGGGGAGCGUACAGGAUUAGAUACCCUGGUAGUGCCCGCUGUAAACGGUGCAGACUCGAUGCGUGGGGCGGUCCCCUCUUGGUGUAAGCCAACGCGUUAAGUCUGCCGCCUGGGGACUGCGGCCGCAAGGCUAAAACUCAAAGGAAUUCACGGGGGCGCCGCACAAGCGGUGGAGCAUGUGGCUUAAUUUGUGGCAACGCGAAGAACCUUGUCCGGGCUUGACAUAUUCCGGACGACCUGUGAAAGCACGUUUUCCCUUCUGGGGCCGGUAUACAGGUGCUGCAUGGCUGUCGUCAGCUCGUACCGUGAGGUGUUCGGUUAAGUCCGGCAACGAGCGCAACCCGUAUCGUCAGUUGCCAUCAGGUAAUGCUGGGCGCUCUCGUGAGACUGCCCGUGUCAAGCGGGAGGAAGGC
Molecule: ribosomal RNA, 869 nt
Filed under: uncultured organism
Description: bacterial SSU rRNA
Rfam family: Bacterial small subunit ribosomal RNA
Source: RNAcentral